RNAcentral lists this ribosomal RNA (878 nucleotides) under uncultured bacterium. RNAcentral's name for it is "bacterial SSU rRNA". It matches the Rfam family "Bacterial small subunit ribosomal RNA", at positions 8 to 916 of the family's 1533-position model. The record is from RNAcentral.
AGAGUUUGAUCAUGGCUCAGGAUGAACGCUGGCGGCGUGCUAACACAUGCAAGUCGAGCGAUUCUCUUCGGAGAAGAGCGGCGGACGGGUGAGUAACGCGUGGGUAACCUGCCCUGUACACACGGAUAACAUACCGAAAGGUAUGCUAAUACGGGAUAAUGUAUUUUUGUCGCAUGGCAAAAGUAUCAAAGCUCCGGCGGUACAGGAUGGACCCGCGUCUGAUUAGCUAGUUGGAGAGGUAAUGGCUCACCAAGGCAACGAUCAGUAGCCGACCUGAGAGGGUGAUCGGCCACAUUGGAACUGAGACACGGUCCAAACUCCUACGGGAGGCAGCAGUGGGGAAUAUUGCACAAUGGGCGAAAGCCUGAUGCAGCAACGCCGCGUGAGCGAUGAAGGCCUUCGGGUCGUAAAGCUCUGUCCUCAAGGAAGAUAAUGACGGUACUUGAGGAGGAAGCCCCUGCUAACUACGUGCCAGCAGCCGCGGUAAUACGUAGGGGGCUAGCGUUAUCCGGAAUUACUGGGCGUAAAGGGUGCGUAGGUGGUUUCUUAAGUCAGAGGUGAAAGGCUACGGCUCAACCGUAGUAAGCCUUUGAAACUGAGAAACUUGAGUGCAGGAGAGGAGAGUAGAAUUCCUAGUGUAGCGGUGAAAUGCGUAGAUAUUAGGAGGAAUACCAGUUGCGAAGGCGGCUCUCUGGACUGUAACUGACACUGAGGCACGAAAGCGUGGGGAGCAAACAGGAUUAGAUACCCUGGUAGUCCACGCCGUAAACGAUGAGUACUAGGUGUCGGGGGUUACCCCCCUCGGUGCCGCAGCUAACGCAUUAAGUACUCCGCCUGGGAAGUACGCUCGCAAGAGUGAAACUCAAAGGAAUUGACGG